CGGAGGGUGCAAGCGUUAUCCGGAUUCACUGGGUUUAAAGGGUGCGUAGGUGGGCAGGUAAGUCAGUGGUGAAAUCUCCGGGCUUAACCCGGAAACUGCCCAUUGAUACUAUCUGUCUUGAAUACCCUGGAGGUGAGCGGAAUAUGUCAUGUAGCGGUGAAAUGCUUAGAUAUGACAUAGAACACCCAUUGCGAAGGCAGCUCACUACGGGAAUAUUGACACUGAGGCACGAAAGCGUGGGGAUCAAACAGGAUUAGAUACCCUGGUAGUCCACGCCCUAAACUAUGGAUACUCGACAUCAGCGAUAAACUGUUGGUGUCUGAGCGAAAGCAUUAAGUAUCCCACCUGGGAAGUACGAUCGCAAGAUUG
RNAcentral lists this ribosomal RNA (369 nucleotides) under uncultured organism. RNAcentral's name for it is "bacterial SSU rRNA". It matches the Rfam family "Bacterial small subunit ribosomal RNA", at positions 526 to 896 of the family's 1533-position model. The record is from RNAcentral.